AGCGGCUCCGUUUAAGAGACCCGGUGGUGCAGGUUAGUGGCGCACAAGCGUUGACCAUUCUUUUGAAAGGUAAAGCCUUAGCUGGAAGUCGUGUAUCGUGUUCGUGAUGGCAUCUAAAGACUUGGACAGACUGUGCUCGUACCUCGCCAGCAUGCAGGCCGAUCAACUGUAUUUCUUGGAGGAUGAAACUUCUUUCGUCGUACUGCAGAUCAGGGGAAUGCCUGUGCAUAUGGCCGUCGCCAGUAUCCGUGACCAUAUUGCCGCUAUCCCGGGCUUAGAAAACCGCCUACGCUGCAUAUGUAGGAUUUACGUGUGCCUCAUGAAGAACAGUGUGAUUGGUUCCUGGGUUCUCUAUCACGUCAGUGCUACUCAAGCAGCAGAUCAAGCGAAUUUCAUGAUCAGUUGUUUAGAGAAGGCGGAUUUCAACCGCGGCUUCAUUCAUUGGACGAGUGCAACGACAGAGUGUACCCUCAUGUGCGCAUUGGUGCAAGAAAGUGACACCCCGAAUUCCGGCUUUGAAGUCUAUUGCUUUUGUUUCUGGCCAUCGCGGCCUUGUCUCGCAGUCUACAGACCGCCAGAAGGAUAUUCCGUUGGACAAAGGAAAGUUAUGAGUCAGAUACUCAAGGAUGAUUCAUUAGCCUUCAAAUGCGGCGUUUACGACGAACUUUAUAAGGCGCACCUGGACGUCACUUCUCUGGGUGAAGAUCAAGACGUGGAAGACGAUGUCGCUUCGUUCAGCCGACGCAGCCAGCUAAGACACUGAAGACAUAUUGCAUUGUUCAAGGUGGAAGAAGGGCUCGCUUCACGAACUAGAAGAAUCUUGUAUUACCAGCAAUACGACGCAGAUUGAAUAACGCAAGAUUGUCAUCAGCCUAAAAGAUAUGUCGAAUUAUUCUCGCAGAUACGAAAGCGUUUUCACGAACAUCGCUAGUAAUGUUUGCAAUAGUACUAAGAUAACCACACAGAAGACCUUGACUUUCCCUAGUGAAAAAAAAAAAUGCUUUGAAUGCUCCUAUCUGGAAACACCGAUUACUUCUAUGGCGUUGUGGUGCAUAAAUGUUUGACGUGGCCAGCAAUAUGCGGCUGAAACUUUGACGAAAUGAACGCCGUUACCACUGAAGGGGACGUUGGGGUUCUUUGAAACGUUGCAAUAAAAGACCCGAAUGAAAAAAAAAAA
Molecule: long non-coding RNA, 1177 nt
Filed under: Rhipicephalus microplus (southern cattle tick)
Lineage: Eukaryota; Metazoa; Arthropoda; Arachnida; Ixodida; Ixodidae
Description: uncharacterized LOC119171481
Source: RNAcentral